AUUUCCAGUGACUAAUGCUAAGCUAGAACAUAUUUGUGGUGGUGAAUUUUAUGUGUCAACUUAACUGGACCACAGGAUGCCCAGACUUUUAGCCAAACAUUAUCCUGUGUGUGUCUGGGAGACUGUUUCUGGAUGACAUGGACGUUUGAAUCCAUAGACUGAGUAAAGCAGAUUGCCCUCCCGAAUGGAGGUAGGCCUCAUCUAGUGAGGUGAAGACGUGACUACAAUGAAAAGGCUGAGUAAGAGGGAAUGCGUCCUACCUGACUUGUUUGAGUUGGGACCAUGGUCUUUCUCAGCCUUCAGACUCGGACUGAAACAGCAGCUCUUCUUGGAUCUCCAGCCUGCCGACUUUCAGCUUGGAACUUAUGCCAUCAGCUCUCAUGGUUCUCAGACCUUCAGACUUGAACUAGAACUACAAACCAGUUUUCCUGGGUCUCCAACUUGUGGACUGCACAUCUUGGGACUUCUCAGCCUCCCUAAUUGUAGUUCUCCUGCCAACCAGAGACCAAGAAUCUUCCCCAUUGAUAUCGAAGCGGAGAAGAACAACUGCCAUGAGAGAAUGACAAACUGCAGCCAGGACUGCGUAUGGACAGCGAGCUGGUUCUCACAGAAGCUUUCAGCCUGCUGGUUACACAGGUGCUUGGGGUACAGCAGUGAACCAAACAACAACAAAUCCCUGUCCCACUGGAUUUCACAUUCUACUAGGAAAAGUCAAAUAAUAAACAUUGAUCAUAAGAAGUAAACAAAUUACAUAUUUUUUCAGAGAGUGAUGAGUGCUACGGAAAAAUAGAGCAGCUUAAGGGGAGGAUCAAGGGUGCUAGAGGUGGGAGAGGUGACAAUUUUAAAUGAGAUGGUCAAGGGAAGCCUCACUGAAUUUAUAAUAUAAGAAACCUCAAAAGUUUCAGGGUAAGGGAAGUUGACCAAAGAACAUCUAGAGAAAACAGUGUUCUUCAUGGAAGGAACCGCCAGUGCAAAGGCACUAAGACGAGGACAUGCUUGGCAUGUUCAAGUAGCAGAGGGAAGCUAGUGUGGUUGGAAUGAGAGAGCAGAGUGGGGCAUAGAGAACAGAGAGGGGUCAGAGAGAUACUGGGGUGAGGAGUGGAGGAGGUGGCCUUGUAGGAAUUGGCUUUUACUCUGAGUGAGAUAUGAAACUAUUGGAAGGCUUUAAAUGGAAGACUGACAUGAUCUGAUUUACGGAUUACUCUGACUCUGUAUUAAGAAUAAACUAUAGUGAGCCAAGAGGAGAUGCAGGGAAACUGGUUAGACAACUAUUGCGAUCAUCUAGGUAAAGAUGAUGGUUUGAGACUGAGGUAGACCACAGGAAGUGGUAAGAAAUGAUCAGGCAUAUUUUGGAGGUAGAAUUGGCUGGUGGAUUAGAUGUGGGGUAUGAGAAAAAGAGCAGGAAAAAGGUUGACUGCAAAAAUUUGGGCCUGGAAUCAUCAUCAAAUGAUGGGGGGAAGACUGCAGGUAGAGGACCUUGCAGGGAGUGGACCAGAAGUUCCAUUUUGGACAUGUUAAGUUUGAUAUCUCCAUCAGUCAUCCAAAAAGGAGGUUUUCAGUAGACAAUUUGGUAGUCAAGUCUGAAGUUCAGAAGAGAGGUCUGGGCUAAAGAUACAAAUUUGGGAGUUUAUGGUGUAUACGUAGAAUUUAAAUUCACAAGACAGGUCGAAAUUUCCAGGAGAGGGAAUGUAUAUGGACAAGAAGAAAAAAAACUAAACUCUAUGGCUCUUCAACAUCGAGAGUUUGAGGAGAAGAGGAGAAACCAGUAAGAGGAAACCAAGGAGCAGCACCCAGUGGGGUGAGAGGAAAACCCGGAGUGUGGUGUCCUUGAAAACAGAAGAAAAAAUCAUGUCUGGAAAGAAGGAGAUCUUGACCCUCCCAAAUGCAGCUGACAUGUUAAGUAAGAUGAGUCCUAAGUUUUGACCAUACACGGAUUUAGCAGCAUGAAUGUUAUUGGUGACCACAGAGAGAAUAGAUGCCUUGAUGGGGGUAACAUCUUGAUUGGAGGGACUUUAGGAGGUAGAGAGAGACAGUGAGCAUAGGCAAUUAUUUCAAAGAAGUAGAUACAAUUAUUAAGACUGUUUUACAAAGACCCAAAGAGGGUUUUUACUUGCCUAAGUUCAUAAUAUUAACAAGUAGAGCUGGGACCUGAAAUCAGGUUUGCUUGAAUCCAGAAUCUGCUCUCUUCACCACCAUCCUAUACUGUCUGAGAUCUGCCCUGGUCACAGACAUAAUAAUUCAGUGAAGGAAGAAACAGACUAGAAGCGGCCAUUUAGCUCUUGUCUUCUGUGUUUUCCCACCAAGAUUUCAAACCAGUAUUCCUACAACCUUCCACGGCAUAAAUUCCCUUCUCACUUUCUAGUGCCAUUCUCUGUGUCACCUUUUUAUCACCUCACUUGUGUAACCAUUUAUUCUCACUCAUCCAAUUCCUUCCUCUUUAAGAACAAAUUAUCUUGUUUUCUUCUAUGUCCAAUUAGCAUAUUCAGUGUUUCCAGAUCUCUAAAUUCAUGCUUUAUUUGUCACUUAUCUAGAAAUAAAAGUCCUUCAGUCCAUUUCCUCUACCCAGUAGACUCUGUCUGCUAAGAUCUAAAAUAAAUCCACCACUGAACCUGGCUAAGAGGUUAAGAUACCUCAUAGAGUCGGAAAAUAGAACAAAGAAUAGAAAAUAGAGUGAAGAAACUUUGUGUGUCUGUAUAUGGUUGGGGGUGGGGGAAGUGACAGGUAAGCAACAAACCAGGCUGAAAAUAGGACUCCAGAGUAAGUUAGAUUUCUAGCAACAUCUCCAGCAGUGUUGGCAGAAAGUGGAUCCAAGAGUGGAUAAAAGCAUAUGGUCCAUAGCAUGACAAAGAGAGGAAUCAAAAAAAUCAUGUUUCACGAAAAAAGACUAUCAGGACACACAAAGUGAGGACAAGGAAUGAGUCUGGUAACCACCGACUUGGGCCAAUCAGAUAGCAAAUAACAUUGCGAGAAUGAGCCCUUGAGCACAUAUGACUUGGCAUGAAGUGUCUUGCUUUUGCUUCUCUUCACAUGGCAUAUCUUCAAGUGGCUAUGGCUUAUUUGUUCCAUAAAGUACUACCAAAAACUCCUCCUCAAACUGGAAAUUCAUAGUCAUAGUAACAAGCUCAAUAUAAACAGAGCCUCUGUUUUACAAUGCACUCUGUUCUGGGUCACUUGAAACACUGAUUUCUUCACGGAUGCUAUCAUCCUCUCCUGACACGAUAGCUCUAGUCAUAAUAUGCGCCUUUGCAACAUGCAGAUGUGUCCAUGACGCAUAUAUGCCUUUUUCAGGCCUGAUUCUGCGUACACAGAGCUCUUCCGUGUGUGUUGCCCACCGUCUCAAUGAGAGCCCAUGACUCACGAUCUGUGGCUUUGAGUCAUGCUCUGAAGUGAUGUGAAUUAGUCUUAAUUUGGUGCUUUUCAGUUAUCAGUAUAAGCCCUGCCUGCUGAGAGCUUUGUUUUGUUUUCCUUCCUAGCACUUGGAACUCCCUUAAUUGGUAGUUGAUAACUUCCACAGUGUGUAUUUUACAUGGAGGAGUGAAAGUUGGCCCAAUUAUAAGCAAAAAGAACAAAACAAAUUUGCACCGAAUAGAAAGUGUAUUGUGAAAGAACUAACGGCUGGGAAAAGCAGAGAUUUUGUAGAUAAAAAGCUGCUUUUUGCUUCAUUGUAAAGCAAGUGACUUCACCCUCUAAUCGCAGAUCACAAAUGAAGGUGACAACCCUGGAGAACUUGACAGAUAAGGGAGGGAGAGAUGGGAGGGAGAAGCCUCAUCCAUUUAUGUGUCCAUAUGUAUGUCCCUGAGAUGAAAUUGUUGUACCAGAAAAGGGAGAAUUGAAUAGAAUAGGAGGAUAACAUUCAAGCAUCAAGUGCCUCUACCACAUCCUGGUGCCCAGACAAAAAAUAAUCUGAGGUUGUAACAUCAUUUUACGUCCUGACAUAGUCUGGUAUUUAAAAGGUUUUAUGAACUAAUAGCAUCUGAGAACCUGAGAAAUGCGCCUAAAAUUGAACUAUCUGGUUCAGGAAACACGUAGACAAUGGUCUGAGUGAUUCACUUUUGUGUUAGAACAGAGAGGAGGAAAACUUGUAUAUUUGUUAAAGUGUUUACAUAGACAGAAGAUCUUGAAAGUGCGCCUAUCAUUUUCUUUUUUUUUUUCACUAUUGCCCUACCCUUGUUUAAUCUUCACUGGUUUUCUGUGGUCGUUUUUUCAGUAAAGAAAGUUUAUUUUUUGCUAAAUGUUUCAGCUAGAUUUUCAGACUUUUGAGUAAGAAAUUCUUUGUAUCCUGGGAAUUCUACAGUCUCUUAUUCAUAAUAGUUUUAUACACAAUUGAUACUUCAUGGAUAACUCAGAAUUAAUUUUUAUUUGAUGCUGUAAUAUAUUAUAUCUCUUUUCCAGAAAAUUCAUCUGUGUUCAGUCUACAUCAAGAUAUUAAUAAAAUGAGAAGGUCAAAUGUUAUUCAGCAUCCAAGAUAAAACCAGUCUGUGGUUCCACACUCUAUAUAUAUUACAGAUGUGACUAAUUCAGAAGUAGAUUGCUCUUGCAUAGACAUACAUUAUGUUCCACUUUAAUAAAAAUAGAUCUAUUUCUC
Equus caballus (horse) is the source of this 4585-nucleotide long non-coding RNA. Lineage: Eukaryota; Metazoa; Chordata; Mammalia; Perissodactyla; Equidae. The record is from Ensembl.